CGAUCUUAACAUCCUCACUCAUGCUGUUCGGUGAGUUGUGGAGCCUCACACCUUUAAUCCUAAUUUGGAAGGCAGUGGCAGCUGUAUCUUUCAGAGAUUGAGGUCAUGUUAGUCUACAUAGUGAGUUUAGGUUGGCUAGAGCUACAUAGUUCCUUUCUUAAAAGAGGGGGCAGGGUAUGACAUUUUUACCCAACUCAAGUUAGAUACUAUAGAAAGGACUUAACUGUUUUUUCUUUGACAAAACUGUAUACUUUUAAAAGAUUUAUUUAUUUUAUGUAUAUGCGUGGUCUAUCUACAUAUAUACCCGAUUACCAGAAGAGGGGGCAUCAGAUCACAUAGAUGGUUGUGAGCCACCAGUGUGGUUGCUGGGAAUUGAACUCAGGACUUGGAAGAACAGCCAGUGUUCUUAACUGCUGAACCAUCCCAGCCUUGACAAAAUAGUAUACUAGUAAAUAACGGGAGCACAAAAGAAAACUUUCUCAUAAUCCUACCAGAUAGACACAUAAUUUAAACAUUUUUUGUAUGUGUUUAUCUGUUUGUUAGGGCACAUAUGUAGAGAUUAGUGGGGAAUUGAGUGUCCCAGGGAUUGAGCUCAGGUCCUUAGGCUUGGUGGCAAGGUCCUAAAGACCCUAUAAGACACCUCUCUACUCCUAGAUAACAUGUGGCGCCCCCCCCCCCCCCCCAGGGUUUCUCUGUGUAGCCCUGGCUGUCCUGGAACUCGCUCUGUAGACCAAGCUGGCCUCGAACUCAGAAAUCUGCCUGCCUCUGCCUCCCAAGUGCUGGGAUUAAAGGCGGGCGCCACCACUGCCUGGCCGAUAACAUAGCUUUUUGUUUUUUUUAAAGUCUCUUGUGUGGCCCUUCCUGACCUGAAACUCACUGCCUAGAUAUAUAUAAUCUUAUUUAUAUUUUGCUGUUCACUUUUGUGUGUGUGCACAAGUAUGUGUGUGGUGCUGCUUGGGAGUUGAAUGCAGGGAUUCAUCUGGAUAGGCAGAAUUCAGUCAUUGAACCACAACCUCAAUGUGUGUGUGAGUGAGUGAGUGAGUGAACCUCAAUGUGUGUGUGUGUGUGUGUGUGUGUGUGAGUGAGUGAGUGAGUGAGUGAGUGAGCAAGCGAGCGUUCCAUACCCUUAAUCCCAGCACUCCUGAGACAGAGGAGGACGGAUCUCACUCUACAUAGUGAGUUCCAGGACAGCAGGACCAUAUAAAGAGACCCUGUC
This 1216-nucleotide long non-coding RNA is filed under the name Mus musculus (house mouse). Its description in RNAcentral is "long non-coding RNA chr14:21838875-21840091". Lineage: Eukaryota; Metazoa; Chordata; Mammalia; Rodentia; Muridae. The record is from RNAcentral.